CCUACGGGUGGCUGCAGUGGGGAAUAUUGGACAAUGGGCGAAAGCCUGAUCCAGCCAUGCCGCGUGUGUGAAGAAGGCCUUCGGGUUGUAAAGCACUUUCAGUGGGGAAGAAAGCCUUGGGGCUAAUACCCUCGAGGAAGGACAUCACCCACAGAAGAAGCCCCGGCUAACUCCGUGCCAGCAGCCGCGGUAAUACGGAGGGUGCGAGCGUUAAUCGGAAUUACUGGGCGUAAAGCGCGCGUAGGCGGUCUGAUAAGCCGGUUGUGAAAGCCCCGGGCUCAACCUGGGAACGGCAUCCGGAACUGUCAGGCUAGAGUGCAGGAGAGGAAGGUAGAAUUCCCGGUGUAGCGGUGAAAUGCGUAGAGAUCGGGAGGAAUACCAGUGGCGAAGGCGGCCUUCUGGACUGACACUGACGCUGAGGUGCGAAAGCGUGGGUAGCAAACAGGAUUAGAUACCCCAGUAGUC
This 465-nucleotide ribosomal RNA is filed under the name Vreelandella stevensii. Its description in RNAcentral is "partial 16S ribosomal RNA". It matches the Rfam family "Bacterial small subunit ribosomal RNA", at positions 338 to 795 of the family's 1533-position model. The record is from RNAcentral. Lineage: Bacteria; Pseudomonadati; Pseudomonadota; Gammaproteobacteria; Oceanospirillales; Halomonadaceae.